Molecule: long non-coding RNA, 974 nt
Organism: Rhododendron vialii
Lineage: Eukaryota; Viridiplantae; Streptophyta; Magnoliopsida; Ericales; Ericaceae
Exons: 4
Source: RefSeq, a predicted model, not a curated record
UUACACAGGGAGAGAUUGAAGCAGUGGUCAUUGCCACUGGUGUCUAUACCUUCUUUGGCAAGGCUGCUCACCUUGUGGGCAGCACAAACCAAGUUGGUCACUUUCAGAAGGUCUUGACUGCCAUUGGGAUUUUCUUUAUAUGUUCUAUUGCUCUGGGAAUGGUAAUAGAGAUCAAUGUAAUGUAUCCAAUUCAACAUCGGGACUAUCGUCCAGGAAUUGACAAUUUGCUUGUACUUCUUAUUGGAGGAAUCCCCAUUGCAAUGCCUACAGUUUUAUCUGUCACAAUGGCAAUUGGCUCCCACCGUUUAAGUGUGUUAGUAUGUAAGACCAUCCUUUUUUCCCAUUGUAGGGGGCCAUGACGAAAAGAAUGACAGCAAUUGAAGAAAUGGCAGGCAUGAAUGUGCUUUGCAGCGAUAAAACUGGAACUCUGACAUUGAACAAGCUGACAGUUGACAAAAGUCUUAUUGGGGUUUUUUUUUUUUUUUGGAGGGUUUGUUUGCUCCAGUUUGAAUUUCUAGAUUGUGCAUUGUAGUAGUUGUUCCAACCCUUUUCCUGGAUGCAUUGUCAUAGGUCUUUGCUAGAGGAGUAGAUGCAGAUAUUGUAGUUUUAAUGGCUAGAGAGCCUCCAGAGUGGAAAAUCAAGAUGCAAUUGACACUGCUAUUGUAGGAACAUUGGCUGAUCCGAAAGAGGCAAGGGCUGGCAUUCAAGAGGUUCACUUCCUUCCGUUUAACCCCACUGAUAAGUGACCAGCUCUGACAUACAUUGAUAGUGAAGGCAAAAUGCAUCGAGUAAGCGAAGGUGCACCAGAACAGAUACUCAAUAUCGCACACAAUAAGUGAAAAAUAGAGCGGAGAGUUCAUGCUGUGAUUGACAAGUUUGCACGGACUUUUUUCGGGUAAGUAAACGUAAACUAGCAAUGGUCCUGGAACAGUUAAUUGCCUAAGAUACAACUGAUAGAUAAAUGCCAAAUGAAU